GGGUUUCCUAAUAACAAGGUUAUGGUGGUAAUAUCCCAGAAUGCCAAGUAGCAACAUGGAUGCCCCCCAACCUACCCUAGAGGGACAUCCAGAGUGUUUAUAAUCUGCAGGAGUAGCUUGAAGAGUGGCUUCUUUCUAUUUCAUGCUACCAUUGUGUUGAUUUUAGCGUUAGUAUUUCUCUUAUUUUAUCUCAUCACCUCUCAGCUUAUAUAACUCAUUUUAUCUCAUGGUAUCUAUAUUCAUGUCAACUCAUAUUCUAAGUAUCAUCUUUUGUCAUUUUAUUUUACUAUAUUGCAGAUUAUUUUAUCACAUUUUAGCUCAUGCAUCACUUUUCAUUUUAUAUUCCUUCAUCUUAUCUCAUCUCAUUUUAGUUUAGUUUAUUUUACCUCGUUUCAUCUCAUUUUGUCUUAUCUAAGUUAAGCAUACAUUAUCUUGACACAUACAAUGUCAUUCUAUUAUGUGAUUUCAAUUUCAUCUUCAUUUAUCUCACAUCAGCUCAUUAUAUCAUUUCAAAUUUUAUCUUCUCAUCUCAUCCUCCUGAUGUUUCAUCAUUUAUUUUAAAUAUUUAAGGUGGUAAUUGUAAUAACAGGCCUGUUUCUGCAGCUGAUUGGCUGACACCUAGCCCCUCACAUCAGAAGUAAAUGUUAAAAAUUACAAAAUAAAUCCUGAUGUUCUUGUUUGUUAUGUACAUCAUCGAAAGAGAUGAAAUUCAGUCUAUUUUAUCAAGGUAAAAAACUCCACACGGGAGCUUUAAUUAAGAAGUAAUCUUUAUCUUACCCUUAGCAGGAAGGCAAAAAGUAAAUGUCUCCAUCGAAGUUAAUUUCAGUCCCACUUCUGUGAGCUAUAAAAAGUCAUGUGCCAGUUUUGAGUGAAUAAUGUUAGAGGGAUUGUGAAUCUAAUGAAGGCUUUUCUUACUGUCCGCCUCCCUGAACAAAUCCUCUUUCUGCUGCAUGGUGCUGCUUUCAGAGGACAGACAUAGCGGCAGGUGAAGGUGUGGCGGUGAGCACCUGCUCUUUGAACAUGUGUCUGAUCACCCACCCACACAGAGAACGAGGAAAAGAGCGAGAGAAAGAGCUCCACGUGUGGACUCGCCGAGUGCUCCCAGCACACGUGCUCUUAGGAAAUAAACUGCUCCCUGACAUCGCUCUUUUUUCUUCCAGACACCAGCUCUGCUCAGAGAAUAUAUUAAUUUAUUCAUCACACCCUCCCUCUGUGAGUGUGUGUGUGUGUGUGUGUGUGUGUGUGUCCUGUAAUAGGUGUGUGUUCCAUCCUCAUUAGAGUAAACAGUACACACAUUACAGCCUGUUCUGCUGACAGUUUUAGGAUGAAGACGAUUAAAAUGAUGAAUGUCUCCUCCUGCAGCUGAAUCACAAGGACAGAUUACCCACAAUCCUCCGCUGUAAACACUGAGUCACACUCACACGUGGAGCUGUGGAGGGGAGUGAUCCAUCAAUAGAAGAAAACCUGCGAAGAAAAUGAACUUCAUCAAGGAAGCAUAGGCAAUCGAUAGCAAUGCCAAUAACUCUAAAUCGAUUCCAGCCAAAAAUAUGAGGAUGCAGAAAUUUAUAGACCAGAAAGGCAAAAACUGAGAAUCGCUUCAUCAAUAAACUUCAUAGUGAAACAUGUGAGCAUCUGUUCACAGGACUUUUAUUUCCCUUUAGUAUUAGUCAAAUUGAAGUUGGAUAACAAUAAGUUUUUUUUUCAGACCAGCGUCAACAAGAGGACACGAAAUUACUUUGUGCAAUACUUACUGAUAUAUGCAGAAGAGUCAGAGCAGGAGAAAAGACACAAAAACACAGGUAGGAAGAUAGUCUGACACAUUUCCAAUAUGAGCUUUAAUGUUUGGACUACAGAUGAAGAGUUGUUAACACUGGUGCACAACUUUAUGUGUGUAAAAAUAUUCUUUAAAAAACAGGUAUUUUUACUUAAACAUGUACGGGACAAAGUUAACAAUGAUAUGAGGGUCUUCUUUGUCCACAGGGGGCGACAACAGUCAAUACAAACUGAAAAUUCCUCACAGUGGCUUUAAAGCUCCUGUGAAGGACUCUUAGUCUGAGUCAAGUUUGACGCCCCCCUGUGGACAAAGCAGUCUUUACUUAUGUUGUCCUUAACCAGCUAAAGUAGUGUUUUCCGACAACAGAUUAAUCCUGCUGACUUCUAUCAGUCAAAAAAUCUUUAUUUUCAUCAUUUAUGUGAAGAUUAUGAAAACAGGACUGUUUUAGUGAUGGGCACAGCAGUUCUUUUACAUGUACUGAAUCACUGGACUCAGUUCACUAAAAAGAUUCGUUCAAAAGAUUCGUUCAUCGAAACACUGAAUCAUUCAGUGCUUGGUGGGAGGAGCCUGUGACUCUGACCCUAUUAAACUGAUACACAGCUGAACGGUUCAGGAUUCAGUUCAAUUUAAAGCUUCUGGGAGACAAGAGUGUUUGGCUAUGUUACUUUGGCAAACAACUUUGAAAACAUCAUGACUUAUAUACAAGUUAAUUUUUACAGUGUUCUGUCCUAUGGUAUGCUAUUUAUCAGGUCUGCUCGGUAAAUUGGGCUCACUGAGUGAUUCGUUCACUGAACAUUUAGAAGAAUUCAAACUGAACAUGUACCGUUCCCUCACAAACCGCUGCAAUGAUAGGAUGCUGCCAGUUUUAUGCACUACUUGUUACAUGCUGUGUCCUCUUGUAUGCAUGUCGUUGUGGUGGCAAUUUAGCAGUGAAAAAAAAGGUAGUUUUGUCCGACAAAAAUGAUCCCAGAGAUUGUAAUUCAAUGCGUGAUUCGUUUACCAAAUGAUUCAGGCGUCGGUGCAUGUGGUCCCUCGUUCACCGGCUGCUCGCCUGGCAAUGCUGCAGGCAAUAGCCUCUGCCCUGCUGACAGCUUAACUGAAGUGAGAAACGAACGAAUCACUUGAGGAAGUGAUUCGGUUCAAUAUGUUCACUUAAAAGAUUUGGUUCUUUUGAACGAAUCGUUCAAAAACACUAGACUGUUUCUUCAGCUGCCUGUCUGACACCUACCUGCCACAUCAAUUUCCAGUGUUAAGAAUUAAUGUUAUGAUAAUUAUAAAUCUUGAUACUAAUGGUCUUGUUUUCUUUUGCACAUCAGAAAAAGACAUCAGUAUGAAUUUCUAUCUCUUUUGUGAAUGUCUUAAAAAAAAACUCAGUGUGUAUCUGACAAUACAUAAUUAAAAAUUCUCAUCACGCUGGCUUCUGAAAGUUAAAUAUUUUACUUAAUGUACAAACUUGUCUGUCUCUGCACCCAUUUGGCUGACACCCCCUCACACCAGUUUUAGGCAUUAAAUUUUACACAAAAAAAGUUUUGUAGCUAGUGGUCUUGCUUGCCUUUUUACACCAUAGCAUGAAUUUCAGUCAAAGUCAUAAAUGUUUAAAGCUUUAAAUGAAAAAUCUGUUCAAUGCUUCAUCUUAAAGUCUUGAGUUAUUUGUCUUUGUCAUAUCAAAGUGGGACAAGAUGUUUUAUAUAUGUCUUUGAAUUCAGAAAAGAUGGACUGAAAUAUUGAACAAAGUUUCUCUGCUUGUCAACGUUCGAUACUGUGCAGCACACAGCCGAUAAACACUAUGUUCCUGCUGUCAGUGAUGAGUAUAAUUAACUGUGUCUUUGGGUUGCAGAGUGUAAUUAAUGAAUGCAUGAACACACUCCGCUUGCAGAGAUGUCAGAUCCUCUCCACUCUGAUAGUUAAACUGAUUUUCUUUUUUUAAUCUGCAGCCUCUCUCCUCUCUUUAGUUGAACAUUCACGCUGAGAUUGGCUUUGUUGCCUGAAAGAAAAGACUUCUGAGCAUUAACCAAGAAUCUCUUCACACACCAAGCUCUGUGCAUGAACAUGUCAAAGGUCACAGCCUGUAAAAAUCAGCUCUUUCUCCAGUGGAUACAAUAGAAAUAUCAGAGUUUAUUAAUUUACCGCGACUCCGUUCUCUGGUGAACAAACAGCUAACAGCGAUUCAAGUUUUGAUCAGAUUUAUUAUCCAGUAAAAACGCAGAGAUUACUCUGUGUGCGGGGAUGAAUUCAGCCUUCAGUCUCUGUGCUCCGCAGCUGCAGGAUUUAAUUUAUGCAGAAACAGAAAGAAACACACAGAAUGAGCCGGAGCAGCUAGACUACAGAGAGAGACAUUUACAUCCAUUUACAUCAGAGAUCCUGACAGGAUUAUCUGAUUAUUCUUUUACUGAAAGUUAAUCUGAUUUAUCCAGCAUGCAAUGUCUGAAAAUUAAAUCUCAACCAGUGAAUGAAUAACUGGAAAUAAACCGAGCUUUCAUCUUCCUGCAGCCUCAUGUACAGUUUUAACAGAGGUUGUUUUUGCCAUUCUGAGAGCUGGGGGCUCAGUUUAAAGCCACACAGCUGCAGGUAAAAACAGAAUUAUACCCACAGCUUUGAAACAGUAUAUAAUGUAUAUAAAUGUGGACAUUUACAUGAUCCUAAGAAGUUUCCUGAUUCUCUGACUUCAGCUCUGACAAGUUUUUAUUAUUUAGGUGAAAUUCAUUGGUUUUGUGAGAUGUCAGAUAACACUCAUGGACGGAUAAUUUGUUUGUUUGAUGCAAAUUAAUUAAAAAUGAUCAGUGGACCAAACUCAGAAAUCAUUAACCUGUUAUGAACUCUAAUCUUAAAUAAGUAAGUAGAAUUUUGGGGUUGGGGAUGAACACAACUGCAGUGAUGCCAUUUAACUUCCUGUCCAAAACUUGGCCUCCAAACUCUGGAGCAUGCCCAGAAAAAAAUCUAUUUAGUUUAGUGAACAAAAAGGUCAAGUAUUUACAAAACAAACAAAAAAAAUCUGAUUCUGAACUAGAAAAAUGAGAUGCCAAGGAGAAACACUGGCACACUGGAAAGAUGACCCACAGACACAGACCAUGAACCGACACUGAAGGAGAGAAAGACAGAGAUUAGGGCAAAAACAAGCAACAGGUGGGAAAGACAAGACACAAGUUGACCAAUCAAAAAGAGGGAAAGGAGGAAAUCAAGACUUUACACUCAAGAGAAUAGGAUUACAAAAUAAAACAGGAAACACUUGGAACUAUAACACGGCACAGAAAUGAUCAAAAAUAAAACAACAAUGCACACAAGAAAGAGGAACACAAGGAAACAUACUCAUGUGAACUAUAACCGAGUUUUCUAACAUAUUAACGGCACCGAUUGAAGAGAGAGGAGACCCUGUUUAUAUCCUGCCCCAUUAUAGUUAUAUGAUCUUUAUUGAUAAUCCUGAACUCCAGGCG
This 5205-nucleotide long non-coding RNA is filed under the name Xyrichtys novacula (pearly razorfish). Lineage: Eukaryota; Metazoa; Chordata; Actinopteri; Labriformes; Labridae. The record is from RNAcentral.